AGGAUCAAGCCCUUUAGGCAGGUCACUUGGCCAUCAUGCUGUCUAGCUUGAGGGUCAGUGUGCAGGUGCUGUCUGGGCAAGAGGAAUCUUCAGAGUCCUGAGCAGAAGCUGGACACCCUCAGGGAGGACAGGAGGCCGGCAGACCCAAGAAAGACCCCCAUCGAUGCUGGUGGAAGUUCAGGGAGUGACAAAUGAGACAAUGACUAGAUGCUGUUUGUCGCCAGCGAUCCACAAGAACCAACUGAGCACUUUCUACGUGAUGGGAACUGUGCUGUGAAAGCCAGUGCGGACACGCUAAGGAAGAUGUGUGGCUGGGGUUAAGUGACCCGAUCUUCCUCAGUCUUGUUCUCCACUUCAGAGGGACACUCAUACUCACCUUGGAGAAAUGACAGGGCAAGAGGUCUUCUUGGACAACCGAUAGCUUCUAUCAACUAACAUUUGCACUGGGCUAUGAGAAGUGGGUGGGUAUUCCAGACAAUCCCUCAAGAACAGCUAAGCAGCAGGCCACACGGGGAAGUCCCCCGAGCCACUAGAGGAGGAGCACACUGUGCGUUCCAGGAGGAUCCUGUGAAGCAAACAUCAAUGUGCAGAGCCCUGCCCUGGAUUCCCAGGCUUUUAACUCAAAUCUGCACCAUACUUUCACCUCAGCUGACUUCUGGACUUUUGUUUAAAAUUCAUACUCUGUACUUGAAACAGAAAAAAGAUGUGAUUUUUUUUUUUGGCUUAAUACUUCUGAAGGUGGUUGGGGGUAGCUGGACUCCAUCUGACUCAAGUUUGAGUCUAGACUUCCCCUCCAACUCCCUUUAGGUUGCUGAGUAAAUUGUAGUAUGUUUGACACAAAAUCAGUAUCUGUCAUGCACUCUUAGGCAAAUGAUAAUUUUCUACUGAAAACUAUUUCCUUAGUGAAGGUAAAUCUUCAACCCCUGUUGACAGAUCCAAUUUUUGCAAAACGCCAGAAAAGUCUGUAACAUGUGGGGAAGCAUAAUUCAGCUUAGCAGAUAUUAUUGAGCAGUUACUACCUGUCAUUUGCUCCUUUGCUCUGAGAGUUGCCUGCUCCCUCCCUCCGCUUCCCUCAGUGUUUAACCCCAAGAGUCAUGUCCAGCCAACU
Molecule: long non-coding RNA, 1108 nt
Organism: Marmota monax (woodchuck)
Lineage: Eukaryota; Metazoa; Chordata; Mammalia; Rodentia; Sciuridae
Exons: 4
Source: RefSeq, a predicted model, not a curated record